UACAGAGGUCCCAAGCGUUGUUCGGAUUCACUGGGCGUAAAGGGUGCGUAGGCGGUCGGGUAAGUCUGAUGUGAAAUCUCACAGCUUAACUGUGAAACUGCAUUGGAUACUAUCCGGCUCGAGGAAUGGAGGGGAGACUGGAAUACUUGGUGUAGCAGUGAAAUGCGUAGAUAUCAAGUGGAACACCAGUGGCGAAGGCGAGUCUCUGGACAUUUCCUGACGCUGAGGCACGAAAGCGUGGGGAGCAAACAGG
This 253-nucleotide ribosomal RNA is filed under the name uncultured bacterium. RNAcentral's name for it is "partial 16S ribosomal RNA". It matches the Rfam family "Bacterial small subunit ribosomal RNA", at positions 524 to 776 of the family's 1533-position model. The record is from RNAcentral.